UGGAUAAUCUCACAUCGUCAAAACCACCCCAAAAUCAUGGCCUCUUCCUUAUUUCCGUGGAAGCUGUCUUCUUUAGGGGUCUUCUUCCUAUUCUACUUGCUCUUCUUCGUAAACAACAUCACCAUCUUUGUUUCCACUCCAUUUCAUGGCAUAGUCGUUUUUGCUUCCUCCAUUUCUUUCGCUUCCAAUAUGACCAACCAUACGGAUGAAGCAAAGACUCUCCUGAAAUGGAAAUCUAGUCUCGAAGACCACAACCAAUCUCUCCUGUCUUCAUGGCAAGGUAACAACUCUUGCCACUUCAUGGGUGUCACUUGUGACGACAAUGGAUUCGUUGCCCAUCUUAAUCUUUCUAAUCUCGGCCUGAGAGGAACUUUAAAUAGUCUUGACUUCUCGCACUUAACCAAGGUGGUUAGCCUUGACUUUUCCAGCAACUCGAUCUAUGGUGCUAUGACCUCAAGUAUUAGUAACCUUUCCAAACUCAAGUAUCUUAAUUUUUGUGACAAUAGAUUGAGUGGACACAUUCCUUGGGAGAUUGGAUUGUUAGAUUCUCUUUCUGAAGUUUCUUUUAGCAAAAACAACCUCAAAGGUCCUAUCCCUACUUCACUUGGAAAAUUAGGCAACUUAAGAAAUUUGAGCCUAGCAAAGAAUGACCUUUCUGGUCCCAUUCCAAGAGAGAUAGGUGACCUAAGAAGAUUGAAGUUUCUUUACUUAUGGAUGAACCAACUUUCGGGAUCCAUACCUGCAGAGAUUGGGAGGCUAACCGGUCUUAUUGACUUAGGAUUUUCUGAUAAUAAGUUGGUCGGGCGUAUCCCUGCUUCACUAGGAAACCUAAGCAGUCUAAAUGUCCUCUAUCUUUAUGGAAACCAACUUUCGAGAUCCAUACCUUCAGAGAUUGGGAGGCUAACCAAUCUUAUUGAAUUAGAUUUUUCUGAUAAUAAGUUGGUCGGGCAUAUCCCUGCUUCACUAGGAAACCUAAGCAGUCUAAAUGUUCUUUAUCUUGACAGAAACCAAAUUUUAGGGUCCAUUCCUCCUUCUCUUGGAAAAUUAGGCAACUUAAGAAAUUUGAGCCUAGCAAAGAAUGACCUUUCUGGUCCCAUUCCAAGAGAGAUAGGUGACCUAAGAAGAUUGAAGUUUCUUUACUUAUGGACGAACCAACUUUCGGGAUCCAUACCUGCAGAGAUUGGGAGGCUAACCGGUCUUAUUGACUUAGGAUUUUCUGAAAAUAAGUUGGUCGGGCGUAUCCCUGCUUCACUAGGAAACCUAAGCAGUCUAAAUGUCCUCUAUCUUUAUGAAAACAAACUUUCGGGAUCCAUACCUUCAUCAAUUGGGAGGCUAACCAAUCUUAUUGAAUUAGAUUUUUCUGAUAAUAAGUUGGUCGGGCAUAUCCCUGCUUCACUAGGAAACCUAAGUAGUCUAAAUGUUCUUUAUCUUGACGGAAACCAAUUUUUAGGGUCCAUUCCUCCUUCUCUUGGAAAAUUAGGCAACUUAAGAAAUUUGAGCCUAGCAAAGAAUGACCUUUCUGGUCCCAUUCCAAGAGAGAUAGGUGACCUAAGAAGAUUGAAGUUUCUUUACUUAUGGAUGAACCAACUUUCGAGAUCCAUACCUUCAGAGAUUGGGAGGCUAACCAAUCUUAUUGAAUUAGAUUUUUCUGAUAAUAAGUUGGUCGGGCAUAUCCCUGCUUCACUAGGAAACCUAAACAGUCUAAAUGUCCUCUAUCUUUACGAAAACAAACUUUCGGGAUCCAUACCUUCAGCAAUUGGGAGGCUAACCAAUCUUAUUGAAUUAGAUUUUUCUGAUAAUAAGUUGGUCGGGCAUAUCUCUGCUUCACUAGGAAACCUAAGCAGUCUAAAUGUUCUUUAUCUUGACAGAAACCAAUUUUUAGGGUCCAUUCCUCCUCUUGGAAAAUUAGGCAACUUAAGAAAUUUGAGCCUAGCAAAGAAUGACCUUUCUGGUCCCAUUCCAAGAGAGAUAGGUGACCUAAGAAGAUUGAAGUUUCUUUACUUAUGGACGAACCAACUUUCGAGAUCCAUACCUUCAGAGAUUGGGAGGCCAACCAAUCUUAUUGAAUUAGAUUUUUCUGAUAAUAAGUUGGUCGAGCAUAUCCCUGCUUCACUAGGAAACCUAAGCAGUCUAAAUGUCCUCUAUCUUUGCGAAAACCAACUUUUGGGAUCCAUACCUUCAGCAAUUGGGAGGCUAACCAAUCUUAUCGAAUUAGAUUUUUCUAAUAAUACUUUGACUGGUUCAAUCCCUUCAUCAAUUGGAAGCAUGGUCAAUUUAAUUGUGUUAUGCCUUAGUGAUAACAACUUUCUCGGUAUCUUGCCUCCUGAAAUUAACAAGAUUAUUCAUUUGAGUGUUUUGGAGCUCUCUGAUAAUGAACUCGAAGGGCAGCUGCCAGAAAAUAUAUGCCUGGGGGGGAUUAUUGCAAAAUUUCACUAUGGAGAAUAAUCAUUUCACAGGUCAUAUCCCUAAAAGCUUGAGGAAUUGUACUUCAUUAUAUAGAGUGAGGCUCGAAGGAAAUAAACUUACUGGAAAUGUAACAGAAGCUUUUGGAGUAUAUCCGCAACUGAAUUUUAUGGACUUGAGCCACAAUUAUUUGCAUGGUGAACUUUCAUGGAAAUGGGGGCAUUGCCACAAUUUGACGAGCUUAAGGAUAUCGAACAAUAAAAUUUCCGGUGAGAUACCCUCGAUAUUCGGAAGGAUGGCUCAAUUACAGUUUCUUGACCUUUCUGCAAAUAAUUUAAGUGGAAAGAUUCCAAGGGAGUUGGGAAGCUUGCACCUACUACUAGAUCUUAUCCUUAACAACAAUGGGAUCACAGGUGAUAUUCCCCAUCAAAUUGGAUUUUUAUCUCGACUAGAAUAUCUCAACCUAGGAUCAAACAAUUUGAGCGGAGCCAUUCCACCGCAGCUCAGCCUAUGCACCAACUUGCUGAGCUUGAACUUGAGCCAAAAUAAAAUUGAGAGAAGCAUUCCUUCCGAGAUAGGCAAUGCGCAAUUCCUAAGGGUUCUUGAUUUGAGUCAAAAUCUAUUGACAGGAAGAAUACCACCAAAUCUAGGAAAAUUGAGAGUCCUAGAAACCCUAAACAUCUCCCACAAUGGCCUCUCUGGUUCCAUCCCAUAUAGUUUUGCUGACUUAUGGGCAUUAAUUUCUGUUGAUGUGUCCUACAAUGACUUGGAAGGUCCUCUCCCAAAUGUCAAAGCUUUUAAGGAGGCUCCAUUUGAGGCAGUUCAGCAUAACAAGGGGUUGUGUGGGAACGAGACUGGAUUACAGAAAUGCAAUAUUUCUACCAUGAGCAAGAAACACAAUCAACAUGGCGGGGCUAGAAUUUUGAUUAUCCCCGUUCUCUCAUUCUUGGGAUUCCUCAUUCUCUCUUCCUUCUUGAUCGUCCUCAUAAUCUUUAAUUGCCAUCGGAGAAAGAUUAUCAAGAGAGAGAGAGAGGAAUGUAUUGACAGAGACUAAUGAUUUAGAUUUCAUGCACAUUCUGAGUUUUGAUGGCAAAAUUUUCUAUGAGAGAAUCAUGGAGGCAACAGAAGGAUUUGACUCCAAGUAUUAUUUGGGAGAAGGGGCCUAUGGCGUUGUUUACAAAGCUGAUCUGUUGC
This 3597-nucleotide long non-coding RNA is filed under the name Eucalyptus grandis. RNAcentral describes it as "long non-coding RNA (EGRA_LNC006507)". Lineage: Eukaryota; Viridiplantae; Streptophyta; Magnoliopsida; Myrtales; Myrtaceae. The record is from RNAcentral.